UACGUAGGGGGCAAGCGUUGUUCGGAAUUACUGGGCGUAAAGGGCGCGUAGGCGGCACGGCAAGUCAGGAGUGAAAGCCCUGGGCUCAACCCGGGAACUGCUUUUGAAACUGCCGAGCUAGAGUGCGGAAGGGGCAACUGGAAUUCCCAGUGUAGCGGUGAAAUGCGUAGAUAUCAGGAGGAACACCGGUGGUGUAGACGGCUUUCUGGACCGUAACUGACGCUGAGACACGAAAGCGUGGGUAGCAAACAGG
RNAcentral lists this ribosomal RNA (253 nucleotides) under uncultured bacterium. Its description in RNAcentral is "partial 16S ribosomal RNA". It matches the Rfam family "Bacterial small subunit ribosomal RNA", at positions 524 to 776 of the family's 1533-position model. The record is from RNAcentral.